GAUCCUGGCUCAGGACGAACGCUGGCGGCGUGCCUAACACAUGCAAGUCGAGCGAGUGAAUCUCCUUCGGGAGUGAAGCUAGCGGCGGACGGGUGAGUAACACGUGGGCAACCUGCCUCAUAGAGGGGAAUAGCCUUCCGAAAGGAAGAUUAAUACCGCAUAAGAUUGUAGCUUCGCAUGAAGUAGCAAUUAAAGGAGCAAUCCGCUAUGAGAUGGGCCCCGCGGCGCAUUAG
RNAcentral lists this ribosomal RNA (233 nucleotides) under uncultured bacterium. RNAcentral describes it as "partial 16S ribosomal RNA". It matches the Rfam family "Bacterial small subunit ribosomal RNA", at positions 15 to 244 of the family's 1533-position model. The record is from RNAcentral.